CAGUGGUGCCGAGAAGGCGGGUUGGGGAGGGGUUGUCAGAUCCUAAGAAGCGUCUGUAAUGAGCGGCGGUUUGGAAAUAUGGACCCGAGGUUUAGUAAGAGCUAGGCCGCGCUAAUGACGGAAGAGGGUGAACUUGUCUGAAGAUUUCCCUUCUCGCCUGUGUUGCGUCUUCCGAGGCCCCCGAGUUGACCCCCAUCUAGCUGGCGGGUCGGGGCGGAACACUUACCUGCUUGAGGUUAAGCCGGGUGGCCCUGGCGCCCUACUCGGUCGUUCUUUGGGAAACUGAAAUGACGAAGACAUGGCCUGCCUCAGAGGUGUGACUGGAAAGCCAGUGUUAGUUCAUGAAGUUUUACCAUCUAAGUAAUCAAAAAUGGAAAAUUCUGUAAAAGCAGAGUGUGAAAAGAUCUCUCUUGAAGAGGCAAAAGCAUCAACAGAUUCGGAAACAGAGUCUUCAUUCAGUAUUAAUGAAAACACAACCACUCCUGGGACUGGGCCCUCUGAAAAGUCUCCUAUCUGUGGACACGUAGACACACCAAAAAAGAGAAAAAUGGAAUUUGAAGAUGAUAUUGUAAAGGAAAGUUCUAGUUGUGGGGAAGACACUCCAACCAAGAAAAGAAAACUUGAUGCUGAAAUUGUUCCAGAGGAAAAAGGUUCUGGUGAUGAUGAAGGCAUUUCAAGGAAAAGAAGAAUGGAAACUGAUGAUUUUCCAAAAGAUGAACCUUCUACUGGAGAUGGCACACAGAGAAAGAGAAAAAUAGAACUUGAGGAUGUUCCUGAAAAGCAAAAAAACUUAGAAGAGGGACACAGUUCAGCAGUGGCUGCCCACUACAAUGAACUUCAGGAAGUUGGUUUGGAGAAGCGUAGCCAAAGUCGUAUUUUUUACCUCAGAAACUUUAAUAAUUGGAUGAAAAGCGUCCUCAUUGGGGAAUUUUUAGAAAAGGUACGACAGAAAAAAAAACGUGAUAUCACUGUUUUGGACCUGGGAUGUGGCAAAGGUGGAGAUUUGCUCAAGUGGAAAAAGGGAAGAAUUAAUAAGCUAGUUUGUACAGAUAUCGCUGAUGUUUCUGUCAAACAGUGUCAGCAGCGGUAUGAGGACAUGAAAAAUCGUUGUCGUGACAAUGAAUAUAUUUUCAACGCAGAAUUUAUAACUGCUGAUUGUUCAAAGGAACUUCUAAUUGACAAAUUUCGUGACCCAGAAAUGUGCUUUGAUAUCUGCAGUUGUCAGUUUGUCUGUCACUACUCAUUUGAGUCCUAUGAGCAGGCUGACAUGAUGCUCAGAAAUGCUUGUGAGAGACUGAACCCUGGAGGCUAUUUUAUUGGUACCACUCCCAAUAGCUUUGAACUGAUAAGACGCCUUGAAGUUUCAGAAACAGAAUCAUUUGGAAAUGAGAUAUAUACUGUGAAAUUUCAGAAGAAAGGAGAUUAUCCUUUAUUUGGCUGCAAAUAUGACUUCAACUUGGAAGGUGUUGUGGAUGUCCCUGAAUUCUUGGUCUAUUUUCCAUUGCUAAAUGAAAUGGCAAAGAAGUACAAUAUGAAACUAGUCUACAAAAAAACAUUUCUGGAAUUCUAUGAAGAAAAGGUUAAGAACAGUGAAAAUAAAAUGCUGUUAAAACGAAUGCAGGCCCUGGAGCCAUAUCCUGCAAACGAGAAUUCCAAACUUGCUUCUGAGAAGGUGGAUGACUAUGAACAUGCAGCAGAUUACAUGAAAAACAGUCAAGUAAGGUUACCUUUGGGAACCUUAAGUAAGUCAGAGUGGGAAGCCACAAGUGAGACCUCUUGUAUCCCACUGGAUCAGGGAAGAAAUCUCCAUGGCAGCAGGCAAACAAUAGCAGAGAAGUUUGUGACCUGAACGAACAUUUGUAGGGCGUCAUGAGGAGGCCUCACACUGACCCCAUGGGUGUCUAAGACACAUGAAUGAGCAUUCAGGUGAGCACUCUCCCACUAUUCUGCAAAUAGGUCAAAUUUAUGGCUCAGCAAACUCAGAGGGAAAGAUGGAAGUGGUUUAUUGAGUGCCCCUAGAUAUGUCAACAUAAAAUGUCUUGGAUACUAGAGUCUCAUCUGAAUGACUCAGAUGCCUCACUGCUCAUCAGUGCCCUGUCAGCAGAUCAGACUUGUCCCGUGGCACUAGGGGAGUAGUUACUCUUCAUCCCCUUUAGACAAACCUAUUUCAGAAAUGGAUGUUGCCAAUUACCUUAUACACACCAGAUGGACCCUGAGUGCUCUACCAACAUGGAGAAAAAUGGAGAAAUGUGUUGAGUGACCCCUCAGUACUCAGUCCCAGAUACCUGACACUCCAGCUUGUGUGACAGCUAGAGGAGGAUUCAACUUUUGGAACUCCUCAAUUUAGGAUCAGGAAUUUAUGGCAAAUCUGAAAAUAAACCCCAGUACAAUGCAGUGGGUGUUUUUUCAGGUACAUGAAUGUUUAUGAGUGUUUGUGCAUGUUUUUUAACACUGGUUUUAACAAAUUUGUGACGUUUUCUUGUUUCUUGUUCUUGGAGUUCAUUGAGCCUCUUGUGUGUGUGAGUUUAUUAUCUUACCAAAUUUAGAAAGCUUUCAUCUAUUAUUUCUUCGAAAGGUUUUUCAGUCUCCCCAGUCUCAUCCCCUUUGGAGGCUCAAAAUAUACAUAUGACCUGAUAUUGUCCUAUAUUUCACUGAAGUUCUGUUCAUUGAUUUUCACUCUUUUCUUUUUCUGCAUUCCACUUUGGAUAGUUUCUAUAGCUAUAUCUUCAAGUUUACUAAUUUCUAUUCUGUAAUGUCUAAUUUGCCAUUAAUUUCAUCUAGUACAUACUUCAGCGAUUCUGUGGGUUCAGAUCCAGACUACUGCAAUAAAUAAAUAAAUAAAUAAAUAAAUAGUGAAUAUCACAAUGAAAUGAGUCAAAUGAAUUAUUUGGUUUCCCUGUAUUUAAAAAAUUAUACAUACAUUGUACACUAUAGUAUAGUAUAGUAAGUGUACGGUAGCAUUAUGUCUAGAAAAACAAUAUACAUACCCCAAUUAAAAAAUACUUUAUUGAUAAAAGUGCUAACCAUCAUGUGAGCUUUCAGCAAGCCUAACCCUUUUGCUGCUGGAGGGUCUUGCCUCAAUGUUGAUGGUGGCUGACUUAUCAGGGUGAUGGUUGCUGAAGGUCAGGGUUGCUGUGGCAAUUUCUUAAGACAACCAAGAAGAUUGCCUCGUUGAGUAACUCCUUUCACAGCUGAUUUCUCUGUAGCAUGUAAUGCUGUAUGAUAGCAUUUUACCCAGUAGAACUUUUUUCCAAAUUGAAGUCAGUUUUCUCAAAUCCCAUCUAUACCUUAUCAACUAAGCUUAUGGAAUAUUCUAAAUCCUUUGCUGUUGUUCCAACAAUCUUCACCAGGAAUAGAUUCCAUCUCAAAAAACCACUUUCUUUGCUCAUCCAUAAGCAACUCCUCAUCUGUUCAAGUUUGAUCAUGGGAUCACAGCAAUUCAGUCAUAUCUUAGUCUACUUUCCUUUCCAUAUAAAUCUGGGACCUCUUUUUCACAUACUGCUAUGCCACAUCUCUGAGGCCUGGCCAGAAUACUGAUAGAUAAAAUAUUGUGACUGGGUUUUUCCCUUCCACCUGUCUCAUGAUGGGGUCCUGACCCACUUACCCACGGAGCUGCACAUGGUUCAGAGAUUUUUUUGAGAACCAAGCUGCUAGCUAUUUCAGACUCAUGUCUUACAAACUGAUGAAAUACCAUUAAUACACAUUUUCAAAACAUGUCUUCUAUUUGCUUUUCCUACAAUCUAGUCUUUGGUCUUCUAGCAAAGAGCUCAUGGCUCCCUCCCUCCCUCACUGGAUACUCUAGCCUGAACCUGAAAUGUCUUUCUUUCUUUUUUAUUUUUUUUAAAGUUUGAUGCUAUUAUAUUUUAAGUUUAUUUAUUUAUUUAGAGAGAGAGAUGCCGAGAGAGGGGGAAAAGAGAGAAUCUCAAGAAGGCUCUGCACCAUCAGUGCAGAGCCCAAUGUGGGGCUUGAACUCAACUGAGUCGUGAGAUCAAUACCUAAGCUGAAACCAAGAGUCAGACGCUUAAUGGACUGAGCAACCCAGGAGCCCCUGAAAAGUAUUUCUUAAGUGGGAAGACUUGAAAGUCAAAAUUACUCCUUGAUCCAUGAGCUGCAGAAUGGAUGUGUGUUUGCAGGCAUAGAAAUGACAUUAAUCUUGUUCAUCUCCAUCAGAGCUCUUGAAUGACCAGGUGCAUCGUCAAUGAGCAGUAAUAUUUUGAAAUAAAUCUUUUUUUUUUCGUGAACAGUAGGUCGCAGUAGUGGGCUCAAAAUAUUCAGUCAACCAUGUUGUAAACAGAUGUGCUGUCAUUUCAGCUUUGUUUUUCCAUUUAUAGAGCACAGGCAGAGUAGAUUUAGCAUAAUUCUUAAGGGCCUUAGGAUUUUCAGAAUGGCAAAUGAGCACUGGCUUCAAUUUAAAAUCACCAACUGUAUCAGUUCUAACAUGGAAAGUCAGCCUAAACUUUGAAGUUUUGAAGUCAGGCAUUGACUUCUCUCUAGCUCUGAAAGUCCAAAAUGACAUCUUCAUCCAAUAAAAGGCUCUCCUUUCAUCUAUACUGAAAAUCUGUUGUUUUGUAUAGCCAUCUUCAUGAAUUAUCUUAACUAGAUUUUCUGGAUAAAUUGCUGCAGCAUCCACAUCAGCACUUGCUCCUUCACCUUUUACUUUUACGUUAUGAAGAUGGCUUCUUUCCUUAAACCUCACAAACCAGCCUCCACUUAUUUCAAACUUGUUUUCUGCAGCUUCUUCACCUCUCUCAGCUUCAUAAAAUUGAAGCGAGUAAGGGCUUUGCUCUGGAUUAGAUUCAGUUUGCUAAUAUUUUGUUUAGGAUUUUUGCAUCUUUGUUCAUGCAUGGGAUUGAUUUGUAAUUUUCCUUUCUUAUGACACCUCUCAGGUUUGGUAUCAAGGUUAUACUGGCCUUAAAAAGCUCACAGAGAAGUUUUCUUUCUCUUUAUAUUUGGUAGAAGGUUUUGUGAGAGAUUGGCAUUAUAUCUUCUUUAAAUGUGUGACAGAAUUUGCUGGAAGCCAUCUAGGCUUGGGAUGUGUGUGCGUGUGUGUGUGUGUGCAUGCAUGUGCGUGCAUCUGUGUGUGUGCAUGUGUGCCUGCAUGUGUAAGUACAUGCACAUUUUGAAUUGUUAUAUAUUUUCCAUGAAUUGAAAGUUUAUAAAAUAAAUAACUCUAGUAAUAAUUUUUGCCUUAAAUUAUUCUUUGUUUGAAAUGAAAUAUAGUUACUGUAGACAAGCUCUUUUAGUUUGUGUUUACAUGGUAUAAUUUGUUUCUUUCUUUUACUUUCAGCCUUCCUGUGUCCUUACAUUUAGGAUAUGUCUCUUCUAAACAGUAUAUCAUAUUUUUAAAAUCUUGUCUGACAAUCUUAGCUUUUAACUGGAACAUUUGCUCUAUUUACAUUUAACAUAUUUCCUGUGUAAGUCUAUGUCUGAUAACUCCACUACUGGAUCCCAUCUGACUGUGUCUAUUAUGUGCUGAUUAUUUGUGAUUGAGUGCUGGACAUUUUGUAUGAAAAUUAUAGAGAUAAUUCAAGGCACCUGCCGAUGUUACCUUCCUCCAAAGGGGAUUUAUUUUUACUUCUGGUAGUCGGUUUCACUAGAGGCAGUAAGUAUUCAAAAUCAUCCUUAUUUGAUUAGGAUUUGAGAUAAUUCAGGUCUGAGUUUAAGAUCCUGUUGGUCUAUUUCUUUCUAGUUUACCCUUAUUCCUAGGAUAUACCUCUUCAGGAUCCUAAUACAAGUGGAGAGUAAUUGGUUGCCUAACCCUCAUUUUUGGCUAGCCCUAAACUCCAGUUUCCUCCAAGCCCUGUGACACUUUGAAAGUUCUACUCACAUUUACAGCCUCUCAGUAGCCUAUUCCAGAAUCACCAAGUGCUCUGGGGUAAAAGCUAUUCCAAAUGCAGGGUUUACUUCUCAGAGUUUUCUUCUUCUCUCAGGUUUUGGGCCCAUAACUUUCCUAUGACUUCAUAAAAAAUAUUUUGUCUAGCUUUUCUAGUUCUCUGUAGGUAAAUUAUUCUGAAUCUCAGUCUAGCAUGGUAUACAUAGAACUCUUCCCAUACAUUUUAUGUGAGAUAACAAAUCCCUUAUUGUUUAUAUUUCUUUGGCUUGUCUGUUACUUGCUACCAAACACAUCCCAGUAAGUACCAAUGCCCUGUGAAGAAAGUAUUUUCAGUCUAGUAAGUCUGAAAAACACCAUGUAGUAAAUUCUCCACUUAGAAAUUCAUAAUAUACAUUACAUUAAAUAUCAAUGAAAUAUUACAUAAAGAAAGUUUGUUUAAUCUUCUGCCUAAAGACAUUACAUGAAGAAACAAUCCUUUUAAAUAAAAUCACCUAUUAAACCCUAUGGAAUUAGGAUUGUCUUCUGUUGGCUUGUCAACUACCUUUUUUUUUUUUUCUGAGCAUGAAAAUUAACUCUCCUUGGGGAAUUAAUCUGACUUCCCAUUCAGAGACUAAACUCCAUCUUAGUACUCCUGAAACUACAUAUAAUUUUUUGUGUUUGUGUUUGUGUUUUGUGUUUGUUUGUUUACUUGUUUGUCUUUCUCAUUAGAUUGUGUGCCCUUGAGGUAGUUGGUGGGGUGCACCUUUAUUUAGUGUGACUCCAGUACCUGGCAUUUUAAUUUGACAUUUAAUAAUUCUUUUUUUUUAAGUUUAUUUAUUUAUUUUUAAUGUUUAUUUAUUUUUGAGAGAGAGACAGAGUGUGAGUGGAUGAGGGGCAGAGAGAGAGGGGGACAGAGGAACCAAAGCAGGGCUUUGGGGCUCAAACUCAUGAACCAUGAGAUCAUGAUCUGAGCUGAAGUUGAACGCUCAACCAACUGAGCCACCCAGACACUCCUAAGUCUCUUUCUUUCUUUAUUUUGAGAGAGAGAGAGAGAGAGAGAGAGAGAGGAAGAGAGAGCACUAGAAAGGGAGGGGUAGAGAGAGAGGAAGAGAGAGAAUUCAAAGCAAGCUCCAUGCUUAGCAUGAAGCCCCAGACAGGGCUCAAUCCCACAAACUGUGGGAUCAUGAUCUGAGCCAAAAUCAAGAGUCAGGCACUUCACUGACUGAGCCACCCAUAACUAUUCUUAUUCAAUCAUUUGUCAAGAAUUAUUAAAUGUUAGAGUGCCUGGGUGGCUUAGUCAGUUAAGCACCAACUGUUGAUUUUGGCUUAAGUCAUGAUCCCACAAUUCAUGGAAUCGAGUCCUGCCUCAGGCUCUGCGCUGACAGUUUGGGAUUCUCUCUCUCUCUCUGUCCCUCCCCCGAUCUCUGUCUCAAAAUAAGUAAAUAAACAUUAAAAAAAAAAGAACAGUUAUGGGACACAAUAGCUCUUUGGACAGAUGAACUACAAGGAAAUGUUUGGGGUCAAUACAAAAGAGAGGUUCUUUUUUUUAAACCAGAAACAAAUUUUUAUUACCCAAGUGUUAUCAUGUAGUUGAAUAUUUCUCUACUUUGUACACAAUUAUUGUUAUUUUCCACAGAAAGGCUGUUUCUUAGCUUCUCAUCUGAUGAUGGCAAGUAUUAAAAUCCUGAUUUUAACAGAAUAGUUAAAUGUGGUAAAAAUGCCUCAGUGAUUUAAGCUGAAAGCAGUACAUUGGAACACAGCUCUUGUACUCAGUUAUCAGGAAUGUACAAAUGUCUUUUUAUUUAAAAACGUGAAAUAAAUUAUUUGUCAGCAUGGACAAUGACAGCCGUAGGCCAUUAUUUACUGUCAAUUGAAACCAUUAACUCAUGAUUAUAGUGAUUUUCUUAAACAUCAGCCAUCUUUCUCUUUAGUCAUUUCCUUCAAUUGACUUCUCUGAAGUUAUUGUUGAGGAGCACUAUCUUGAGCUUCACUACUUCAUUACUAAUGGUAAAGCACUAUUCUAGGAAUUAGAACAUUCCACCUGCCAUUCCACCCAUUCUGCCUAUUACAGAAUCCUUCUCUUCAAAAGAGAGUUUCUUAACCUGUGAAUCCAUGGAGAAGCUUCCCCAUAGUCUGUGAGCCUCCUCAAAUUGCAAGCAGAAUUUCUUGUGAAUAGGCUAAUUGGUCUGCAGGACUCUUACUCUUCCACAUGGCUUUUCCUUACUUUUUUCAUUCAGACUUCUAUAAAGUGGAACCUACCUCCACUCUCCAGCCCCAUUAUCCUGCUCCUGCUUCAGCUUUUUUUCUGAGAUUUAUCACCAUAUGGCAUUGAUAAUGGUCUUCUCACCAGCAUGAGAGUUUCACAGGGAUGGAAACUCCUAUUUAUUUUACUGCUAUGCCUAUAACAAUGUCCUGAAUGUUCUAGUGCUUAGAACAAUACCUAUGUGGUCAACACAUUUGAUGUGUAUAAUCAUACGCUAUUUUCUCCCCAAAGGAGAGGCCUGCCUGGAUCUGACCUUAUGCUGAAUUUACUAUGCAGACCUGAACAGAUAGUAGAAAUGAAUUAGUCUGGAAAAUGACAGGUGGGUGUGGGGAGAGAAGUGUGCUUUUCUAUGUCAAAUUUUUAAACAAUUCUAUGGAGACUUCUAAGCUGUAUAAGUCUAUUUAUUUCCAUUUUGAAUGUAAAAAGAUGUUUAGAAUGUUUGAACAGAGAAGACUUGCUACACACAUGUUUUUAAAGGACUUUUGGAAAUUUCUGCCUACAACAGAAGAGAUAAGUAUUUUAUAUGUAGUUAAAUGAAAAAUAAAUAUGAACUAUCCAGGUGUCUCUUUCCUGCCCAAGUUCUCUCUGACCUUCACGGAAUACUCUAGUCAGCAUGCAGCUUAUUGAGUCUUUAGAGGGCAGGAAAUACUCUACAUAUUUAAGCCAUUACACAUGUCCAAAAGGAGGGGAAUGGGGGAAUAUUUACAUCAGUUACUUGGAUACAGUCCAAUUAACUAGCAGAAACUGCAUUUUGAAGCACUAUUCCCUUGAACCUGCAUAAAUGUGUUUUUAAUAAUAUAGAGAGGCAAGCAGAUAGUAUCAGAGUUGCAGAUAGGAGAAUUUUAGUCUUUUUGCAGUGAUUUAUUUUGAAAGAGUCAGGGGACCACAAAGGACAGGGAAGAUAUUUCCCCACACAGGAAAGGGGGUUCUAUCAGCACACAGACAAUGGCCAGAGAUGAGGAACCUGUCCUUUUCCAAUCACAAAACACACAUACUCUUAUGGAAGCAGAGCUAUAGUCUGGGGCCAAUGAAGCAGGGGGGAAAGUGUGAGUGAUACAAACCCAGGAUUCUUGAGUCCACAGGGGAUUCACCAAGGAGUUCUGGAAAUAGACAGGCACAGCAAGGGGUCACAAAAGUAUUUGGCUAAAAAUGCUCUGAGAGCAUUGCAUCCAUAAGGGGGCUCUUUGGUGGCAAAAGGUGUUUUAUUCAUUGGUAGCAUGAUUCAUCUUAUUUUCAGGAAAAAGAAAGUCAUUUACACCAGGCUGGUAGAAUACCCACCUAGCAUUUUUUAUUUUUCCAAAUAGGUUUUAGUAGGUAAGAGUGUCAACCUUAAUUCCUCAAGUCUCCUCCACCCCAAAACAAUGAGCCCAAACAGACAAUCUCUUGUCACUGUGCCCUCACUGCAGCAAUUCAUCUAGGCCACACAUAUCUACCUUGCUCCUACUCAGUUGCUUUCCUUUAUCACCAAGGUUGUUGGAUAGACCUAUGCUGCAUGAAUAAAAUAAGGGUUCUGAUAAUAAAGAAGAAACAAAAAGCAAGUGUGGAAUUUGGCCACUUUCAGGGUCUGCCAUACUUCUGUCCACUUCUCAGCCACAGCAAUAUGGCUUCCACCACACAUGACACAGAAACUUCUCUGUCAAACCUACCAGUGCUUUCUUUGUUGCAUCUCGCUUAACUUUUUUUGGGCACUGGUCUAUUGAGCCUUCCCUCCUCCAUGGCACCUCCUUUUCCCUUGGCUAUUGUGGGGCCACUUUCUCCUAAUUUCUCUUUUCUGUUUCCUCCACACACACAGUAAAUUUCAGCACUCCUGAGGUGCUGGCCUAAGGUUUCUGCUCUUCCUCUGGAUACCUCUUCCAAGUUACUUCAUCCAAGCCUUUGGCUUUAAGGGCCACCUCCUGCUGAUACUCUCCCUCCAUCCUUCAUCUCUUUGUUCAGACCUCUAUGCCCAGUGCCCUUCUGGACAUCCCCACAGUAAUGGCUCACAAGCACCGCAGACUUAACACAUACAGAACAAGUUCCUCACUUUUUAUGGUAAGCUUGCAAUUCCAUCUAUGGUUCUUCUUUGAGAAAUGGAUCCAUCAUCUCACACAUUUCCCAGGUAGGAAACCAGGGCACCAUUCCUUUCACUUAACCUCACAUCCACUGUAAGAGAUGCUAUUAUGCCCACACUAUGGGGCUGGCACACCUGUUAAUCAGCUGCUUGCUACAGAGAUUGAUUGCUGGUGAUCCCCACACUUUCACUCUUUUCUGGAGGACAACUCUUGGCUGAGCUGUCAACUGUAAGGUUCCUAGGGGAUUACAUUUCCUCACCCCUGCAUGGCCUGAAGCCAAUACUGACUGAGGUAGAAGGUAUGGCAGCCCAGCCCUCUCACCCCUGGACAGGACAACCUCUGGUGCAACUUAACUCCACAUCUACCCUGAGAGCAGGCUGAAACCAGACUUACCAUGAAACCACAUUUGUGCCCAGGUUCUUCUGCCCUCACUUGCUUUCCUCACUUCUGCAUGGAUUGUUCUGAGACUCUCCCAUAAAUUGAUUGUGUAAGGAUCCCCAUCUCAGGUUCUGCCUGAGGUACCCUGGCCAAAGGUCUCAGAUUCCAUUUCCAGGUUCCCUACAUCUGUGUACCUGUCAUCUGUCUGCCACUAUCUUAGUCAUACUGCACUGGUUUCCACCUAGCCCAAUGCCACCAAUAGAAACAGAAAGCGAGCCAAUGCAGCAUUUAACUUUUUCUAGCAGCCACAUUAAAAAAGCCAGAAGAGUGGGGUGAAUUUAAUUUUGGAAAUAUAUUUUAUUGAAACCAGUAUACCCAAAUUAGUAUCAUUUUAACAUGUAAUCAAUGUAAACAUUAAAUAAAAAUUAUUAAUGAGGUAGUUCAAACUCUUUUAUUUAUCGAAGUUUUCAAAAUCUAGCAUGUGUUUUAGUCUUACAAGCACAAUUCAUAUGCUAAAUUUUCAAAGAAAAUACUUAAUCUUUAGAUUUAAUAAAAUUCAGCUGGAAAAAGAUUCACAUACCCAAAUUGUUUUCAAGCAUAUAUCAGUCUUCCAAUCACUGAGUUGUGUAUCAGUUUUAAAAACUUAAGUUAAUUAAGAUGAGAUGAUAUUAAGAAUUCAAGUGCUAAGUAGCCAGUGGCUACUGUAUGGGGCAGCACAGGCCUGGACUGUCAAACCUGCAUUCCUUAACUUCCUUGCUCCGGAUACCAAUGUGUCUUCUACAGUCUCUGUGCUAUUUUAACUAUGCAUCUUACAAAGGAAAGAUCAGUAGCACUUAUCCUGCCUUUAUUCAAAUAUUGAUAAUUUAUUCAUGGUGUACUUUUGGCAUUAAUUUUGAUUUUUUAAAAUAGUGCAUUACCAUAUUAAUUUAUCUUGAUUACAAGGGUUUGGCACUCAAAUUUUGUGUCUGAGUGAAUGCCUCAUUUGCCUCUCUCUAGUCCUGGCCUUGCAUAAUGUGAUUCCUGCUUAUGUCCUUUCAAAGUCUCCCCAUGGAGACUUUCAGGAUCAAGCCCAUGAUGGACAAAAUAUCUCCUGUGGGGGCCUUCCUUCCUGCUCCCUUACAGACACUUUUCACUAAUGGUGGGUGAAAACUGAACUGGAGCAUGUCACCUUCCUACCUUCAUUCACCCUGUUUACUUUGCUCAGAGACUCACUUUUCUGUUUUCUUUAUCUAAUUCCUACUCAGUCUUCAAACCUCCUUCCUGGGAGCAGGUUGGGGACUGUGUUGCAGUAAAUUCCCCCACAGUCUCCACCUUCUAGGCUGCACUGGGUAGUCUACACAUGCCUGCCCUCACAGAUCCCUCUUCCUGGAGGGACUCCUGGGAAGGAGCUGGCAGGAGUUGAGAUGGGAAGAGAGAGUGGCUGCCUGGAUCCCAGCUCUCUCCCUGGGUUCUGACAGAGACCACACCCAGCCCCAGCUCCUGCUGGCCUGGGUGCUUGCCUCUCCCUGGGCUCAGAUCACCCUCCCCUGCCCCACAGACCCUCAUGGCCUCCCCCCUGUAAGUGGUCCCUCCUGACUGUCACCCACCCUAGUCUAACCAUCUUCACAGAACUCCAGAUUCUGCUGGGAUUUUGCUAGGACCUUAGACACAUGCCUGUUUCCCCCCACCCCUCAACUCCUAUAAUUGUUAGUUCUUCUGAUUCUCCCUGUCUUCCUCCUUUUCCUCUCCUUCUCCUUCUUUCCUCCUUUCUUUCUUCUUCUCCUUUCUCCUUCUCAUUCUCCUCCUUCUCCUUCUUCUUUCUUCCUCCUUCUGCCUUCCCCCUUUUUCCUUCUUCCCUCUCCUUUUUUCUUCCUUCUUACAUCCUGGGUUAUAUAAUCAUCACUCCAGACUUAUCUCUUUCUGCUUCACUUGACUAUAACCUCCCUGAGCAUGAAAUGGGACUUCCUGAUCCUGAUGUCCCUCAUGAAACCCAGCACUGAGCCAUUUGGCAGGGGCUCUGGCCUUCGUGAAGAAAGGGCAAACAUUGAGUUGUUUAGUUCAUAGAUGUUUGUAUUUUUAAAUAGAUCAUUCAUGAGACCAAUACUCAAAUUAUUCUCAAAGGGGUUUUAAUAUGAGACAAUGCUUUCUGAAUAUUACUUCUUUUUUCUUUUGUCUGGAAAUAGCCUCUUCUUGAUAUAUAUUUUCUGAAAAUAGAAAUUCAUGUCAAGAUACUACAUUACUCAACUGAUCUAUCAUUUCAUUCCACAAAAGCCUUGUAACUUCAAUUGGAGAUGGGCAUGCCAUUUGAACUCCUGUCCACAUGGAUUAGAACCUAUUUAUACAUGGAUAUGGCUGCUGUUGCUUCUUAGAGUCAUACAGUGUUUCAUUUAAAAACAGUUUGUUCCAGGUAACAUAAAAUGUAAAAAUGAAUGGUGAAAAGGAAAGUGUUUUUAGAGUUCCAACUCAUCCCUUUUAAUUUUUCUUUAUUAGAAAUUUGUUUUUACAUAAGCCACAUUGGAUUUAGACUUGUAAAAUCCUAGUGCCACCACUUUCUAACUGUGUGGCCUUGAGCAUAUUAAUCAUAUUGAACUUCAGCUUCAGUAUCUGUAAAAUGAGGAUAACCCCUUCUUUGUAUAUGUACAAAUGUAUGUAUAUGAUGCAUAUGCCAUAUACCAUAUACACAAUAUACAGUUAUUCUCAAAUUUUACUGUGUCUAAGAUAAGGAGCUAAUUAAAGCCACAGAAUCCUGGGCAAGUCUCCCAGAGUUUCUGAUUCAGAGGCCUGAAAGAUCCUCUGAAAUCUGUAUUUGUAAUAAGCUUCUCAGGUAAAUCUAAUGCAGAUGGUUCAUGGACUGCACUUUAAGAAAUGCUGCCAUAGAUCCUAAGUUCCUUGGAUUAUAAACAUAUUUCUAGGAGUUUUGUACUUCCCAUGACCUGCUCAUGACAUGUGUGCUGUAAUACAGCCUUGUGACAUCAAAGGUCAUGCUCAUCCUUUCCAUGCUGCUUUGUGAUCUAGCUACCUUGACAUUCAUGCCUCUCUGGGCUGUACAAGCAUGGUUGGCAGCUGAACACUAGGACUCCAGGUCCAUGUAGACUCCAGUCAGAUUCAAAGCCCUAGAGAGAGAAUCCAUUGGCCAUCUUAUGUCAUGAGCUGACCUCCAUGAAGAGAAGGAAGGUCUGGAUUGCAGAUUACACAGAAUGGAAUAUUGAAAGAACUGACUUUGGUUUCCAGUUCAACAUGCAAAACUUUAGAAGUUGUCAGUCUCAUCCUUACAACAAGAAAAAAGCUGAAUAACACCAAUUCAUGAUAAAAACUAUCAGAAAACUAGGAAUAGACCAUGUUAUGCUAUCUGUUAGCUAAUUAAAAUUUAAAUAAAAAUUGAAAAAAGAGAAAACUA
RNA transcript from Panthera uncia (snow leopard), 13880 nucleotides. It is a transcript of the gene named RNA guanine-7 methyltransferase, with no coding region annotated. Lineage: Eukaryota; Metazoa; Chordata; Mammalia; Carnivora; Felidae. The transcript has 12 exons. The record is from RefSeq and is a predicted model, not a curated record.